Molecule: non-coding RNA, 321 nt
Filed under: Gautieria sp.
Lineage: Eukaryota; Fungi; Basidiomycota; Agaricomycetes; Gomphales; Gomphaceae
Source: RNAcentral
CUCAGGGGGUUGUGGUUCACCCUCUCGGGGGGGACGUAGGUUGGGUCCGCAAGAUGGGGCCGCCUCAGCCUUGGUCGUAGAAGAGACUUCAAUAGUGGCUGGGUCUGUAAGAGGGCCGCGUCGUCCUCGGGGGGGUGGAUGCAGUGUGGGCAGUUGGAUCCGUUCCGCCUCGCUUUCCAAGGGUGGGGUACCGAGUAGCGUCCCAUGCUUAAGAACGGCGGGUGUUUCGUUGCCGGGUCCGUGCGCGGACCGCGUCCUCCCUGCGGUGGGGGGAUUGGGGGGUUGGGUUCCCUGAGCAAGGCGGAUGGGAACCACCCUCAG